GUGCUCGCUUCGGCAGCACAUAUACAAAAA
Molecule: small nuclear RNA, 30 nt
Filed under: Cervus elaphus hippelaphus
Lineage: Eukaryota; Metazoa; Chordata; Mammalia; Artiodactyla; Cervidae
Source: RNAcentral